This 489-nucleotide ribosomal RNA is filed under the name uncultured bacterium. RNAcentral's name for it is "partial 16S ribosomal RNA". It matches the Rfam family "Bacterial small subunit ribosomal RNA", at positions 28 to 523 of the family's 1533-position model. The record is from RNAcentral.
GACGAACGCUGGCGGCGUGCCUAACACAUGCAAGUCGAGCGGAAAUAAUUGAAAGCUUGCUUUUGGUUAUUUUAGCGGCGGACGGGUGAGUAACGCGUGGGCAACCUGCCUGUUACAGGGGGAUAACACAGGGAAACUUGUGCUAAUACCGCAUAACACAGCGAGGUAGCAUUACCUUGUUGUCAAUGGAGAAAUCCGGUGACAGAGGGGCCCGCGUCCAAUUAGCGAGUUGGUGCUGUAACGGACAACCAAGGCGACGAUUGGUAGCCGAACGGAGAGGUUGAUCGGCAACAAUGGGACUGAGACACGGCCCAGACUCCUACGGGAGGCAGCAGUGGGGAAUAUUGCACAAUGGGGGAAACCCUUAUGAAGCAACGCCGCGUGAAGGAUGAAGGUUUUCGGAUUGUAAACUUCUUUAGUCAGGGACGAAAAAAAUGACGGUACCUGAAGAAUAAGCCACGGCUAACUACGUGCCAGCCGCCGCCGUAA